AUGGAGAGGCAAACUUGGAAAGAAAAGAUGCUCAACAAGAAUGACGAUGAAGUUGAAGAUGACUCAGACGAAGAUGAGACUUGUGGCCAUGGUAGCGGGUUGAUCAGCAUAAAAUUUGAAGAAAAUGAGAAACACAAGGUCAAGACAGCUGGGAGUACUGGAAAAAAAUCAGGAUCCGGUAGUGGAGGUGGAGGUGGAGCGUCGUCGGCACCGAGUUGUCAAGCUGAUAGGUGUGGUGUUGAUCUAGGUGAUGCAAAGAUCUACCAUCGCCGCCAUAAGGUUUGUGAGUUUCACUCCAAGGCAGCUGUUGUGGUCGUUUCCGGUGCUCGACAGAGGUUUUGUCAGCAAUGCAGCAGGUUCCAUGAGGUAGCUGAGUUUGAUGAAACAAAGAGAAGCUGUCGCCGACGCUUGGCAGGUCACAAUGAGAGGCGCCGCAAGAGUUCAGGUGAACCUUAUGGAGAGGGCUCAAGCCGCAGGAGUAUCAGUCAUCAAUACCGAUCAGAGAGUACACCGGCUACUACUAAAUAUCAUAUGACAACCCCAGCCCCCAGGAAACUCUGCUAAUUCGAAGCAUUUCCAGAUCAGAUAAUUAAAGUCUGCGCUAAUUGUCUCUCUGCUCUCUAGCUCCCUCUCUUCUGUCAUCCAUGGCUUCGUUUAUAUGAUCUACCAUAUGACUGUUCUUAUAUAUGCUUAACAAUGAGACUAGUGUUCCUAUUCGAGGGGAUUAUAUAAGUA
Fragaria vesca subsp. vesca is the source of this 735-nucleotide RNA transcript. It is a transcript of the gene named squamosa promoter-binding-like protein 4-like, with no coding region annotated. The transcript has 2 exons. The record is from RefSeq and is a predicted model, not a curated record. Lineage: Eukaryota; Viridiplantae; Streptophyta; Magnoliopsida; Rosales; Rosaceae.